This 207-nucleotide unclassified non-coding RNA is filed under the name Hevea brasiliensis (rubber tree). Lineage: Eukaryota; Viridiplantae; Streptophyta; Magnoliopsida; Malpighiales; Euphorbiaceae. The record is from RNAcentral.
CAUAUUUAUGAAGGAUGCAUCCUUAGACCUCUGGUUGCUUUCACCAUCCAUCAUUUCUAGACCACCUUUCAGUGGUUCAUCCUUAACCUUUGAAAGUGGUGAAAAGAACUGGUGCAUGGAGAUGAACACAAUAGAAAUUCCUAAGACGAAAUUCAUAGUCAGGGUAUGACCAAAAAGUGCAGCAGAUGCUAUUCCUGUAAAAAUUGU